RNAcentral lists this ribosomal RNA (468 nucleotides) under uncultured bacterium. RNAcentral describes it as "partial 16S ribosomal RNA". It matches the Rfam family "Bacterial small subunit ribosomal RNA", at positions 28 to 507 of the family's 1533-position model. The record is from RNAcentral.
GACGAACGCUGGCGGCGUGCUUAACACAUGCAAGUCGAACGGAAAGGCCCUGCUUUUGUUGGGUGCUCGAGUGGCGAAAGGUUGAGUAACACGUGAGUAACCUGCCCUUGACUUUGGGAUAACUUCAGGAAACUGGGGCUAAUACCGGAUAGGAGCUCCUGCUGCAUGGUGGGGGUUGGAAAGUUUCGGCGGUUGGGGAUGGACUCGCGGCUUAUCAGCGUGUUGGUGGGGUAGUGGCUUACCAAGGCUUUGACGGGUAGUCGACCUGAGAGGGUGACCGGGCACAUGGGGACUGAGAUAGGGAGCAGAAUCCUACGGGAGGCAGCAGUGGGAAAUAUGGCACAAUGGGGGGAAGCCUGAUGAAGAAACGCCGCGUGCGGGAUGACGGCCUUCGGGGUGUAAACCGCUUUCGCCUGUGAUGAAGCGUGAGUGACGGUAAUGGGUAAAGAAGCAACGGCUAACUACGUG